GUGUUUCGUGCGUUGUUUUCAUUAAUUGGCAACGAUUGCCUAUACAUCAAGUCAGGUGUUCAAGCUCGGUUUUCGAAUUUGGAAUUUGCUAAUUCGUCCAGUACGAAUAAGUAAGAUUUUACUGUUCUUUGAGUUAGUCGUGGAUGUUUACAAUUUCUUUUCUUAAUUCAAAGGAUUCGAAUGAUUGAGUCGCACAGAUGAAACACGUUUUACUGAUUAUUUUGGUUUGGUCUGAAAGUACUAAAAGUAAGAAGUUUGAUGUAAAAUAAUGAUUUUCUCUUUUGACCGGAUCUUAAAUUUAAUUUACAGAAUUUGAAGCUAACUAUUUUCCUGUAAAAUAAAACUCUGAUAAACAAAUUGAGUUCUUUGCUUUCAAUCGUCGGACCAAUCGCCGUAACACGGACA
This is a long non-coding RNA of Bradysia coprophila, 405 nucleotides long. The record is from RefSeq and is a predicted model, not a curated record. Lineage: Eukaryota; Metazoa; Arthropoda; Insecta; Diptera; Sciaridae.